CUCUGGCACCUUUGCUCCAGUUCUCGCCGAGGAGGCGCAAACACAGUUUCUCGCUAUCCUCCUUCAGCGCUCGUAAAAAGGGGCAGGACCGCAGUAAAAGGGGAAAAGGAGGAAAAACAUUGACAGGAUGAACAACAGUUUCCUAAGCAUGGCGUCGAUAGUAGAUUUCGACCCGCUCAACCCUUCUGUUCCUGCCACCAAAGUUGAAAUCACGGUGUCCUGCAGAAACCUGCUGGAUAGGGACACCUUCUCCAAAUCAGACCCAAUAUGUGUACUCUACACACAAGCCAUGGGCAACAGGGAGUGGAGAGAG
Molecule: non-coding RNA, 313 nt
Organism: Neolamprologus brichardi
Lineage: Eukaryota; Metazoa; Chordata; Actinopteri; Cichliformes; Cichlidae
Source: RefSeq, a predicted model, not a curated record